CCUACGGGAGGCAGCAGUGGGGAAUAUUGCACAAUGGGCGAAAGCCUGAUGCAGCAACGCCGCGUGGAGGAUGAAGGCCUUCGGGUUGUAAACUCUUGUCUUCCGGGACGAUAAUGACGGUACCGGAGGAGGAAGCCACGGCUAACUACGUGCCAGCAGCCGCGGUAAU
Molecule: ribosomal RNA, 169 nt
Filed under: uncultured Clostridium sp.
Lineage: Bacteria; Bacillati; Bacillota; Clostridia; Eubacteriales; Clostridiaceae
Description: partial 16S ribosomal RNA
Rfam family: Bacterial small subunit ribosomal RNA
Source: RNAcentral